Non-coding RNA from Cajanus cajan (pigeon pea), 366 nucleotides. The record is from RefSeq and is a predicted model, not a curated record. Lineage: Eukaryota; Viridiplantae; Streptophyta; Magnoliopsida; Fabales; Fabaceae.
CUCUUUGCUUCACUUCUUACCGUCUCACUCUCGCUUCUCAGCAUCUCCUUCUCGCUUCUCACCGUCUCACUCUCGCUUCUCAGCGUCUCCCUCUCGCUUCUCACUGUCUCACUCUUGCGCUGUUUCAAAGCUUCAGUCAUGGCUUCUCCUAUCUCUCCCACAUAGCUUCAAUGGUUGCUUCUCUUCAAUUUCAAUUUUAGGGUUUGUUUUUUUUGUUCAUACUUCACAUAUUCAUAUUGGUAUUAGUUAGGCUUUGAGGCAUUGGUUGGAUUUGUGUUCCUUUACAACUUGAUGUUCGCUUUGCUCUCAAAUUAGUUGGCCUGUGCAGCAUUUGAUAAGUCACACGCAACAAUAACUGAAGAAGAA